This 492-nucleotide ribosomal RNA is filed under the name uncultured bacterium. Its description in RNAcentral is "bacterial SSU rRNA". It matches the Rfam family "Bacterial small subunit ribosomal RNA", at positions 8 to 474 of the family's 1533-position model. The record is from RNAcentral.
AGAGUUUGAUCAUGGCUCAGAACGAACACUGGCGGCGUGGAUUAGGCAUGCAAGUCGAACGAGAACGUUUCCUUCAGGAAACUAGUACAGUGGCGAACGGGUGAGUAACGGGUGGAAAACCUGCCCUUCAAUGGGGGAUAACAGUUCUAACGAGCUGCUAAUACCGCAUACGACCUUUUGAUCGCAUGGUCAAAAGGAGAAAGGUGGCCUCUCUUUGAAGCUGCCGUUGAAGGAUGGUUCCGCCUCCCAUUAGCUUGUUGGUGGGGUAAUGGCCUACCAAGGCGACGAUGGGUAGCCGGCCUGAGAGGGUGUCCGGCCACACUGGGACUGAGAUACGGCCCAGACUCCUACGGGAGGCAGCAGUCGAGAAGCUUCCGCAAUGGGCGAAAGCCUGACGGAGCGACGCCGCGUGAACGAAGACGGUCCUAUGGAUUGUAAAGUUCUGUCAGAUUGGGAAGAAAGCUCUGCGGUUAAUACCCGUAGAGUUUGACG